AUGGGGCAUACUGAUAUAUUGAAAUUUCUUAAACGCCUAGAUUGCUUUUCUAAUGCAACUAUAUAUCGUGUACAUAAUUUUAGUAACUAUUCGCUUGCAUCAGCCGACACAAGUUUUUCUAAAUUAAAACUACUUAAGUCAUAUCUACGUUUGACAAUGACACAAGAAAGACUUAGUGGGUUGGCUAGUAUAUCAUUGAAAUGA
RNAcentral lists this ribosomal RNA (204 nucleotides) under Triticum aestivum (bread wheat). RNAcentral describes it as "partial small subunit ribosomal RNA". Lineage: Eukaryota; Viridiplantae; Streptophyta; Magnoliopsida; Poales; Poaceae. The record is from RNAcentral.